UGGGGCGUAGCCAAGCGGUAAGGCAACGGGUUUUGGUCCCGCUAUUCGGAGGUUCGAAUCCUUCCGUCCCAGC
RNAcentral lists this transfer RNA (73 nucleotides) under Genlisea repens. RNAcentral describes it as "tRNA-Gln". It matches the Rfam family "tRNA". Rfam says of the family: Transfer RNA (tRNA) molecules are approximately 80 nucleotides in length. Their secondary structure includes four short double-helical elements and three loops (D, anti-codon, and T loops). Further hydrogen bonds mediate the characteristic L-shaped molecular structure. tRNAs have two regions of fundamental functional importance: the anti-codon, which is responsible for specific mRNA codon recognition, and the 3' end, to which the tRNAs corresponding amino acid is attached (by aminoacyl-tRNA synthetases). tRNAs cope with the degeneracy of the genetic code in two manners: having more than one tRNA (with a specific anti-codon) for a particular amino acid; and 'wobble' base-pairing, i.e. permitting non-standard base-pairing at the 3rd anti-codon position. RNAcentral also lists the same sequence under 2 other names. Lineage: Eukaryota; Viridiplantae; Streptophyta; Magnoliopsida; Lamiales; Lentibulariaceae. The record is from RNAcentral.